AUUCAAUAAAUGAGUCCUACUCCUACACCUACUCUUAUCACUUGUAAUCCAAAAAAGCUCCAUUUCUUUCUUAUACGCUAAUUCACUAUUAAAUAGAAAUGUAUAUGCAAAACAGCGAGAAAUUUGUAGAUACGUUGAAUGUUGUUGCUUUCACAUUUGCAACUCUUAGUAGUUGUUCAAAACAACAAUGUCGAGCAAAGAUGUUUGCGAUGUUUGAAUGAUUCUUGGAUUGUAUUUGGAUUCCAUCGGUACUAUGGCCUGUUGAUUCGGCACCUUUGUCAUUUUAGCAACUUUUGUUUUCUUUUCUGUGUCGAUGUAGUUCUCUAUACCAUAUUCAUGUUCAUAUUCAUGUUCAUAUUCAUGUUCAUAUCAAUGUCCAUAUCAAUGUCCAUAUCAAUUUCCCAUGUUCCAUUACAUAUCCCGUGUUCUUUCCUUCUUCCAGCUUUUACAUGCUAGCCUUUUAUACAAUGAUUCCUCUCAUCUCGACUCGCUUGAUGAAUGGGCGUUUAGUUUUUGCAACAACAUAUGCGUUGGGUUAUCUCAUAUCGGGAAACACUUUCUGCCACUUUUAACUUGAACAAAGUUGGAGAAAUAAAGUGAUGGCAGAUAUUGCAAGUUGUUUAUAGUGUGCCUGUAGAAAUGUAAAAACGCUAUGUUUCGUGAAUGCCCAGCCUGUAAAUCGAAAUAAGAUUUCGUAUUUAUUAAGCAUUGGAAGAUCACNAUUGGNAAAAACACGAUACGGNUGGUCUCUUCACAGGUCGUUCUCCAGUAAUCACNAACAUGAAANC
RNAcentral lists this small RNA (788 nucleotides) under Schizosaccharomyces pombe (fission yeast). RNAcentral describes it as "small heterochromatic RNA precursor". Lineage: Eukaryota; Fungi; Ascomycota; Schizosaccharomycetes; Schizosaccharomycetales; Schizosaccharomycetaceae. The record is from RNAcentral.